RNAcentral lists this ribosomal RNA (334 nucleotides) under uncultured bacterium. RNAcentral's name for it is "bacterial SSU rRNA". It matches the Rfam family "Bacterial small subunit ribosomal RNA", at positions 27 to 339 of the family's 1533-position model. The record is from RNAcentral.
GAACGAACGCUGGCGGCGUGGAUAAGACAUGCAAGUUGAACGCUAAUUUCGGUGUAGCAAUACAUCGGAGUUGGAGUAGCGCAAGGGUGCGUAACACGUGGGUAAUUUGCCGUGAAGUUGGGGAUAACUCGCUGAAAGGCGAGCUAAUACCGAAUGUGAAGUUUGGGUGGCAUCACCUGACCUUUAAAGCUGGGGAUCGUAAGACCUGGCGCUUUAUGAUAAGCCCGCGGCCUAUCAGCUAGUUGGUGAGGUAACGGCUCACCAAGGCUAAGACGGGUAGCUGGUCUGACGAGGACGACCAGCCACACUGGAACUGAGACACGGUCCAGACACC